Molecule: non-coding RNA, 21 nt
Filed under: Caenorhabditis elegans
Lineage: Eukaryota; Metazoa; Nematoda; Chromadorea; Rhabditida; Rhabditidae
Source: RNAcentral
UUCAAUUAGUAAACUGGUAGA